Long non-coding RNA from Diorhabda carinulata, 1198 nucleotides. RefSeq lists it as uncharacterized. The transcript is spliced from 2 exons. The record is from RefSeq and is a predicted model, not a curated record. NCBI's taxonomy places the organism in Eukaryota, Metazoa, Arthropoda, Insecta, Coleoptera, Chrysomelidae.
CACCGUCAAUUGAAUCGAUUUUUAUCCACUAAUCGGUUCAUUCUUGUUAAAAUAACAAAUACUGCUUUUUCUCGUGUGUAUAAUUAUUAUGGCAAAUGGCAUAUACGGAUAAUUUUUUGCGGGAACUUUUUGAAUUGUACAGGGAACAAGAGUGCCUUUGAAAAGUAAUGGGUGGUGUAUAUCAUAACAGAAACGACCGAAGGGCUAUGGACAUUUUAGUUGUAAAAUUUCAAGAAGUAAAUAAAGAAGCCAGUGAGAAUUUUGUGAAAAGGGAAAUUAACAAUUAUUGAACGUUAUAAACAAAGUUAUGGUAUUUUAAAUGGCUGUCAUUCCUGAAUGAUCAAGAUAUACCCUGGCAGGUGUUCCUAGCCUAUCGGAUGAAGACAAUAUAAGUAUUCCACCCGUGGAAGCCUAAAGAAUCGACAUUGUCAAUGAACAUUGCUGCAGCUGCUUCACAUACAAAAACGUUAUCUGAGACCAAAAAACGGCAAAAUUAAGAAUCAGAUACCAGAGAAGAGAUACUUUGUACAAUCAAAGAGAAGUUACAACAAACAAGAGAAAUUGUACGUGAAAAGGAUAGAUUCAAUAUUUUUGGAUAUAACGUGGCCAUAAAAUUGAGAGCCCUUCCCAAUAAUCAACGGAACAUAGCAGAAAAAUUAAUUAACAACGUGUUGAUUGAGGCUGAAUGCAAUUCCUUACUUAGGGGAUGGCAAUUGACACCACUACCAAAUACCAAUAAUCAGUAUGGGGAUUCCGCUCUUGUCUAUACAGAAUUAGGUACAUCCCUGCAUAGUAACAAUGCAUGAAAUUUCUCAUCUCACUUCUUUUCGAUUUUUAAUGAUAUUUUAUAAUAAUUAGUUAUUUCCCAUGCAACUGUUAAUGUGAUUAUUAGAGAUUUUGUUCUUUACAAGUUGUUUAUUGCCUUAUAAAUAUUUUGUCAGGAGUAUGUGCCCAAGGUAUUUUCUUUCUUAGAAUAGGUUUAUGUGUUAGGGAAGCACACAUAUUUAUUUUUGUUUAAUUUUUAUCUUUGAGACUUUCCUGUUUAAGAUUACUCAAACAAAAUAUAAAACUAUCUUUUUAGGAAGACAAUUAUUAAGUUAGUUUUCUCUAUAUCAGUAUAGGGGUUUACUUGAAAGAUCACAUGUUUUUCAAGUUUGUAAGAGUUUUAUUUUUUUUUAAUUAAAUACAUUAUCACUAC